GUAAUAAUCCUGUAGUCGAAAAUGUUGUCUCUCUUGAGUGGAUCCUGAGUACGACGGAGCACGUGAAAUUCCGUCGGAAUCUGGGAGGACCAUCUCCUAAGGCUAAAUACUCUCUAGUGACCGAUAGUGAACCAGUACCGUGAGGGAAAGGUGAAAAGCACCCCGGAAGGGGAGUGAAAUAGAACCUGAAACCGUGUGCUUACAAGUAGUCAGAGCCCGUUAAUGGGUGAUGGCGUGCCUUUUGUAGAAUGAACCGGCGAGUUACGAUUUGAUGCAAGGUUAAGCAGUAAAUGUGGAGCCGUAGCGAAAGCGAGUCUGAAUAGGGCGUUUAGUAUUUGGUCGUAGACCCGAAACCAGGUGAUCUACCCUUGGUCAGGUUGAAGUUCAGGUAACACUGAAUGGAGGACCGAACCGACUUACGUUGAAAAGUGAGCGGAUGAACUGAGGGUAGCGGAGAAAUUCCAAUCGAACCUGGAGAUAGCUGGUUCUCUCCGAAAUAGCUUUAGGGCUAGCCUCAAGUGAUGAUUAUUGGAGGUAGAGCACUGUUUGGACGAGGGGCCCCUCUCGGGUUACCGAAUUCAGACAAACUCCGAAUGCCAAUUAAUUUAACUUGGGAGUCAGAACAUGGGUGAUAAGGUCCGUGUUCGAAAGGGAAACAGCCCAGACCACCAGCUAAGGUCCCAAAAUAUAUGUUAAGUGGAAAAGGAUGUGGCGUUGCCCAGACAACUAGGAUGUUGGCUUAGAAGCAGCCAUCAUUUAAAGAGUGCGUAAUAGCUCACUAGUCGAGUGACACUGCGCCGAAAAUGUACCGGGGCUAAACAUAUUACCGAAGCUGUGGAUUGUCCUUUGGACAAUGGUAGGAGAGCGUU
This 869-nucleotide ribosomal RNA is filed under the name Staphylococcus aureus. RNAcentral describes it as "partial 23S ribosomal RNA". It matches the Rfam family "Bacterial large subunit ribosomal RNA", at positions 364 to 1240 of the family's 2925-position model. Lineage: Bacteria; Bacillati; Bacillota; Bacilli; Caryophanales; Staphylococcaceae. The record is from RNAcentral.